This 492-nucleotide ribosomal RNA is filed under the name uncultured bacterium. RNAcentral describes it as "partial 16S ribosomal RNA". It matches the Rfam family "Bacterial small subunit ribosomal RNA", at positions 29 to 507 of the family's 1533-position model. The record is from RNAcentral.
AGUGAACGCUGGCGGUAGGCCUAACACAUGCAAGUCGAACGGCAGCACAGUAAGAGCUUGCUCUUACGGGUGGCGAGUGGCGGACGGGUGAGGAAUACAUCGGAAUCUACUUUUUCGUGGGGGAUAACGUAGGGAAACUUACGCUAAUACCGCAUACGACCUACGGGUGAAAGCAGGGGAUCUUCGGACCUUGCGCGAUUGAAUGAGCCGAUGUCGGAUUAGCUAGUUGGCGGGGUAAAGGCCCACCAAGGCGACGAUCCGUAGCUGGUCUGAGAGGAUGAUCAGCCACACUGGAACUGAGACACGGUCCAGACUCCUACGGGAGGCAGCAGUGGGGAAUAUUGGACAAUGGGCGCAAGCCUGAUCCAGCCAUACCGCGCGGGUGAAGAAGGCCUUCGGGUUGUAAAGCCCUUUUGUUGGGAAAGAAAAGCAGCAGGUUAAUACCCCGCUGUCCUGACGGUACCCAAAGAAUAAGCACCGGCUAACUUCGUG